Small nucleolar RNA from Cavia aperea (Brazilian guinea pig), 69 nucleotides. Its record names the gene SNORD73. It matches the Rfam family "Small nucleolar RNA SNORD73". Rfam says of the family: U73 is a member of the C/D class of snoRNA which contain the C (UGAUGA) and D (CUGA) box motifs. Lineage: Eukaryota; Metazoa; Chordata; Mammalia; Rodentia; Caviidae. The record is from Ensembl.
AAUAAGUGAUGAAAAAAUGUUUCGGUCCCAGUUGAUGUCCACUGAUAACUGUUACAUUUUUCUGAUGUU